Non-coding RNA from Microvirga sp., 220 nucleotides. The record is from Rfam. NCBI's taxonomy places the organism in Bacteria, Pseudomonadati, Pseudomonadota, Alphaproteobacteria, Hyphomicrobiales, Methylobacteriaceae.
AAAAUCCAUUACGAUAAAGGGCCAGCAGCCCAUAUCGGCCCCAAGCCGUGCGCAGGCCUCCGCUAGGAUGUCGGCGAAGCGUCGGUAGGGGAGCGUGCAGGCCAGCCAUUGAGCCGCGAAAGUCCAAAGUCCCGGGUGCCGACGGCGUUGACGUUCCGGAAGGCAACACGGCUGAGCGCGUUACGUGAGCGCUCAGCCGACCCGGCGUGGUCUGAGGCCC